This 1229-nucleotide long non-coding RNA is filed under the name Junco hyemalis (dark-eyed junco). Its description in RNAcentral is "lncRNA (ENSJHYG00000002188.1)". Lineage: Eukaryota; Metazoa; Chordata; Aves; Passeriformes; Passerellidae. The record is from RNAcentral.
AUGUACAGACUGAUGAUAUUGCAGGAAAUAAUCCUUCUCCAGAAACUUCAAUCUGUAAGUCAGUGUUUUGCUUUCAGAAAGCAACUUUAUCAUUGAAGUUCCUACCAACUAAAGACACAGUGUUACAGGGCUACUAACACCUCAUUUCUCAAAGUCUGUGUUCUGCUCAUGUACAGAGGAAAGCAAGUAAUUGGAGAGACUUGUGUGCCAGGAGGCAUUGUAACCACAUGAGGGUGGUUCUCAGAAACGGACAGUAAUGAACACUGUUUUGGAGUGUGGACUUCCUGAACUGUCUUGUAUGUAUUGUGCUGUAGAUACUCCUUUGUGAAAGUACUGUUUGAAUGAUGCAGGAGUGACUUCCUUAGUCUCCUCCCCACACACCUCAUCUUUCAAGAUGUGUGCUGGAAUUUCUUGUUUCAAGUGGUUUUUUUGGGUUUUUUUUUUGGGUUUUUUUUUUUUUUUUGUUUUCUUUUUUUAAAGGAAAGGGAAUGAAAGUUUUGUGAGGUAAGAAUUUGUCUCUCAUUCUCUUCUGAAUUCUCUCUCAGGGAGAACAUGGCAGGAGGAGGAAGAGGCUCAGCUCAGUGGAUGCAGAGUGGGAGGCUUCCUGUUACUGAUGUGUAAAGUGGGAAAACAGCAACUCUACGUUGAAACUUAACAAGAUAAAAAGGAAAACAGAAGAUAAUAAAUACAAGGUAAAAAUUCUUUCACAGUUUGAAAUAUUGUCAGCUGAAAUAAGGCUUUUCAGGGCUUUUCACAGGAAUAUUAAUGAAACCUCACAAAAAGUAUCAAUGUGCUUGUGUUACAUAAAUAGUAAAAAUGUUUGAAACAGAGGUGGAUCAGGAGAGCAGCAUUAUGAUCCAUGAGACAUGACACUUCCCAAUACGCUGAGAAGAUAUGACACUGUGUUUCUUCUUCUUAAGUAGAGACAAGCUGCAGUUCUGUAUGAGGGGCUGGAGGUGAGGUGGACUCUGUUCUAAAGCCCUGCUCGCUUAGGCCUUGUGUUAGUGCUAUAGAUGUUACCCCAAUAGAUUUGUGUCCAAACUUACCUUCUAUUUUCAGAACUUAUGUGCUGGCUGUCCAAACAUUUGGCAAGGUCUUGCUAAGAAUAUGCCCACCUAAGGUUUUUUAUGCCAUCUACUUUUAAAUUAUUUAUACUUUCUUGCUGCCUCCUUGCUAUGCCUCAGAUGAGUGUGAAUAAAACUAUCAGUAGCUAAUCCUGAAGUUGUUAU